GAAAAACCCUGAUUUUUUUUUCAAAAGUCAUUUCUUUUUCUUUCAUGAAAAGUAACAAUGAACAAGUGUGAUAAGAACACCAGCCAAAACCUGACCCCUGAAAUUUUACUCUGAACUGAGAGCUCCACUUUGAUCAGACCACCUUCCCAAAGCAGCAUGUUGCCCCAUUCUGACCCUGAGAGCACCUGGCAGGUAUGUGGAAAAAAGAAAUGUGCAUUAAAACAGACCAGGUUACAUCACAAUUUUUAAAAUUUCACUGUGGAAAAAGUUACAAACGAAUGUAAACUUACCAGAAGUAAGAAAGAUAUAAUAUUUCCAAACCAGACACAGAGGAAAAUACAUCUAUUUCCUAUCAUUAAAUACUUACAAGAAGUAAAAGAUAAAAAGAAAGAGCCAAUGGAUGUAGGAAGCUUUGGGACCUCUCCUCUCCAGCUAUCUGAGAGAUACUGCUUCCCGCAAACAGUUUGCCUCUGUGAUCCUUAUUUACCUCUACCUUUUCCAUGAGAUUGAGAACACUAUAAGAAAGCCUACAAAUGCUAUGGUUGCACAUACAGAAAAAUCCAAGACCUCAGAGACUUCUUCCCAUCACUCUUUGAUGUAACUGAUUUCUCCCCAUCAGUAUCCUGAUCAUCUGGUUCCUUCAUUUCCUCUGAUCCAGGAUGACCCACCAGUAGGAGGGUGCAACUACCACCAGAGACCUCUGACCUCUGCAAGACAGCUAAUUAUAAUCACAGAUUCUCUUUCUCUAGGUAAAUUGUCAUUGUGGUGCACUUUGGUUUUCCAGAGGUCCACUACCAAAGUUCAUCUUUUCCCCAGAUGCUUCACCAUUAAAAUUAACUUUCUGCCAUCCUACCUUUGGUCCAUCCCUCCCUCUUUCUCUAUUUUCAAAUUCCCUUGGAGUUACUAAUCAAUUUCAGUUUUUAAAAUAUUUUUUGAGCACACCUGCAGUGUAUCAAGUCUUAUGUUGGGUACUAAAUUACAAACCUGGAGAAGAGAAAUAUGGUCCCUAACUUUAUGGAGCUUGUUUAUAAAGAUAGAUAUUAAACAAGCAAUUAAAAAUAAUGAGUGCUACAAAAAGGAAAAUGGUACUGUGGGCAUGUAUAGCAAGAAGCCUAAAACAUGAUGGGGGGUUAGAGAAGAGGUGUUUGAGACAUGGAUGAUGGUCAGGAGUUGGCCAGGCAAAGAAUGUGAAAGAUACAUUAGGCACAUCAAAGAGGGCUGCAUCUUUAAAGGGCUGCAAGCAGUCUAUUGGCCAGAGUGGGAGAGUAAAAUGGAUAUUGAAGAGAAGGUGGGUACCAUAUCAUAAAGUUGUCUCUAAGCUUUGCUAAGAAGUUU
RNAcentral lists this long non-coding RNA (1335 nucleotides) under Homo sapiens (human). RNAcentral's name for it is "HSALNT0313856". The record is from RNAcentral. Lineage: Eukaryota; Metazoa; Chordata; Mammalia; Primates; Hominidae.